RNAcentral lists this ribosomal RNA (413 nucleotides) under uncultured bacterium. RNAcentral describes it as "bacterial SSU rRNA". It matches the Rfam family "Bacterial small subunit ribosomal RNA", at positions 28 to 422 of the family's 1533-position model. The record is from RNAcentral.
GACGAACGCUGGCGGCGCGCCUAACACAUGCAAGUCGAGCGGGAAGCUUUUUUAAGGAUUCUUCGGAUGAAUUAAAAGUGGAGAGCGGCGGACGGGUGAGUAACGCGUGAGAAACCUGCCCUAUACAGGGGGAUAGCCAUUGGAAACGAUGAUUAAUACCCCCAUAUGACCACAGUAAUCGCAUGAUACAGCGGUGAAAAACUCCGGUGGUAUAGGGAUGGGUCUCGCGUCUGAUUAGCUAGUUGGUGGGGUAACGCCUACCAAGGCGACGAUCAGUAGCGGCCUGAGAGGGUACCGGCACACUGGAACUGAGACACGGUCCAGACUCCUACGGGAGGCAGCAGUGGGGAAUAUUGCACAAUGGGCGAAAGCCUGAUGCAGCGACGCCGCGUGAACGAUGAAGGCUUUUCGAG